Megalobrama amblycephala (Wuchang bream) is the source of this 481-nucleotide long non-coding RNA. RefSeq lists it as uncharacterized. The record is from RefSeq and is a predicted model, not a curated record. The transcript is spliced from 4 exons. NCBI's taxonomy places the organism in Eukaryota, Metazoa, Chordata, Actinopteri, Cypriniformes, Xenocyprididae.
GCGUGCGCGUGAUCAUUCGAGUCGCAUUUGAACUGGAGCGGAGAAAGUUACCAUGGAAACGGCGCAGCACCUCUCAACUGACAAGCAGCGAACACCGUCUCUCACUGUUGUUUUCACCACUUUCAGAUUUUUCCAUGCUGAUGGCAGUGCAGUUGGACAUCUUUAGACAUUGUGAACCAUGUGACUGGAUUUUUUGGGCAGAGCUAAAACGGGGGGCUCGAUGAUGCACUGGAGCCCCUGAGCAUCUGUCAGCGCCUACAUCUGUCGACAACAGUCUGCAGUAUGUGCCCACCAAUGAGUGAAGCCUGCUGAAGAAGACAGAGGACUGAGACAACACAUGCACUUGAACACAAAUACACACCCUAUACAUCUGAGGUUUUUUUUUUUCUUCAUGUGUAAUUUUAAUAUUUGCUUUUGUAUGUUUUAAACACUCAAUUUUCAAUGCAUAUUUUGAAAUGAAAUAAAAGCUCAAUUUGAAUUA